Molecule: ribosomal RNA, 813 nt
Filed under: uncultured bacterium
Lineage: Bacteria
Description: bacterial SSU rRNA
Rfam family: Bacterial small subunit ribosomal RNA
Source: RNAcentral
AGAGUUUGAUCAUGGCUCAGAGCGAACGCUGGCGGCGUACUUAACACAUGCAAGUCGCACGAGGAUCAUCGGGUUAGCAAUAAUUCGGUGGUUCUAGUGGCGUACGGGUGAGUAACACGUGGGUAACCUGCCCUUGAGACCGGGAUACCCUCUCGAAAGGGAGGCUAAUACUGGAUACGUUCCCCGGGUCGCAAGAUUUGGGGAGGAAAGGUGGCGAAAGCUGCCGCUCUUGGAGGGGCUCGCGGCCUAUCAGCUAGUUGGUGAGGUAACGGCUCACCAAGGCGAUGACGGGUAGCUGGUCUGAGAGGACGACCAGCCACACGGGAACUGAGACACGGUCCCGACUCCUACGGGAGGCAGCAGUGGGGAAUUUUCCGCAAUGGGCGAAAGCCUGACGGAGUGACGCCGCGUGGGGGACGAAGGCCUUCGGGUCGUAAACCCCUGUCAGAGGGAAAGAAGGGUGCUGGCGUGAACAGCGCCGGCAUCUGACGGUACCUUCAGAGGAAGCCCCGGCCAACCCUGUGCCAGCAGCCGCGGUAAGACAGAGGGGGCAAGCGUUGCUCGGAAUCACUGGGCGUAAAGGGCGCGUAGGCGGGAUGGCAAGUCGGUCGUGAAAUCCUUCGGCUCAACCGAAGAACGUCGGCCGAUACUGCCGUUCUUGAGGGAUGCAGAGGAGAUUGGAAUUCCCGGUGUAGCGGUGAAAUGUGUAGAGAUCGGGAGGAACACCGGUGGCGAAGGCGGGUCUCUGGGCAUCUCCUGACGCUGAGGCGCGAAAGCGUGGGGAGCAAACGGGAUUAGAUACCCCGGUAGUCC